Hyla sarda is the source of this 73-nucleotide non-coding RNA. Lineage: Eukaryota; Metazoa; Chordata; Amphibia; Anura; Hylidae. The record is from the annotation of a RefSeq genome assembly.
GGUUUCAUAGUGUAAUGGUCAUCACAUCUGCUUUACAUGCAGAAGAUCCUGGGUUCAAUCUCCAGUUAAACCA